Molecule: long non-coding RNA, 1038 nt
Filed under: Gossypium barbadense (sea-island cotton)
Lineage: Eukaryota; Viridiplantae; Streptophyta; Magnoliopsida; Malvales; Malvaceae
Description: long non-coding RNA (GBAR_LNC003652)
Source: RNAcentral
GCAUCAGCAUCGAAAGGAAAGGAGAAAGUCAUCGAGUACUAAAACGGGAGAAUUACGGUGUGUAUUACUAUAAUUCGAAUUUUAAUUAUUAUUGAUUGCUGAAUUUUUUUUAUUGUUAUGUAUGGUAAGUAAGACUUGAGGUAAGUAUGUGAAAUUGAUAUGAAUAUUGAGUGAAAAUGAAAGUGAUGCAAAUUGAAUCAAAUUGAAUUGAAUAAGUGAAUUAUGGAAGAUGUAAUUUUUUGAAAAGCGUAUUGAUUGAAAAAUGAUUGGUGAUUUGAAUUGUGAAUUGAAAGUGAUAUAGGAUUGAGAAAGUGAAUUGAAUACCCUAUUAACUAGUCGGGCUGAGUCGGAUAUAGUUGGCAUGCCAUAGGAUUGGAAGUGUUCAGUGAUACUUCGACCUCGAGUCGAUGAGACACUGGGUGUCACUAUAUUUCUUCGGAUAGAUUCGAUGAGGUACUGGGUACCAACUUUACUUCGGCUAGGCCGAUGAGACACUGGGUGUCAACUAUUACUUCGAACUAUCCGAUGAGGCACUGGGUGCCAUAUUGGUGUGUUUGGUUGGAUCCGUGUAUCCGCCAAAGUCCGAGUUACGUUAAUAGGGUGAAAAUUUGAAAUGUGAAUUUGAGGCAUUGAAACGAGAAAAAUAAAUUGAAUUACGAAUUAAAAUUGGAAUUGUGAUAAUAAGAGAAAAGUAUGAAAUGUAUAUUCAUAAGUGAUAUAAAUUUAAGUUUGAGAAAAUACAUUGAUUUAUGAAUUAGUACAUAUGACAUUAAUUGUUAGGUAUUUUAAUAUUUAUGUUUUUACUAUUGUUGAUAUAAUUUGAAUUAUGGUAAUAUCACUGAGUUUAUCCAUACUCAGCGUACGGUUGUUUCCGUGCGCAGGUUAGUAGAAGUCAAGUGUCCCGGUUCAGCAUCCAGAACAUUCCCGACUCCAACACAAAUUUGGUGAUGUAUAUUUUUCUUUUGGGUAAAGAUGGCAUGUACAUAGGUGUUAUAUAGUCACUUGAAUAUGUAUAUUACUUUGGGUAGUGAAGGUUGA